UGGCUCAGGUGGUAAAGAAUCUGCCUGCAAUGCAGAAGACCCAGGUUCAAUCCCUGG
This 57-nucleotide transfer RNA is filed under the name Bos taurus (domestic cattle). It matches the Rfam family "tRNA", at positions 8 to 63 of the family's 71-position model. From Rfam's summary of the family: Transfer RNA (tRNA) molecules are approximately 80 nucleotides in length. Their secondary structure includes four short double-helical elements and three loops (D, anti-codon, and T loops). Further hydrogen bonds mediate the characteristic L-shaped molecular structure. tRNAs have two regions of fundamental functional importance: the anti-codon, which is responsible for specific mRNA codon recognition, and the 3' end, to which the tRNAs corresponding amino acid is attached (by aminoacyl-tRNA synthetases). tRNAs cope with the degeneracy of the genetic code in two manners: having more than one tRNA (with a specific anti-codon) for a particular amino acid; and 'wobble' base-pairing, i.e. permitting non-standard base-pairing at the 3rd anti-codon position. The record is from Rfam by way of RNAcentral. RNAcentral also lists the same sequence under 4 other names. Lineage: Eukaryota; Metazoa; Chordata; Mammalia; Artiodactyla; Bovidae.